GAUCUUGGAUGCUAAGCACCGUUAGACUAAGUUAGUACUUGGAUGGGUGACCACUGGGAAAUCCCAGGACCAUGAACU
This 78-nucleotide ribosomal RNA is filed under the name Salvator merianae (Argentine black and white tegu). The record is from RNAcentral. Lineage: Eukaryota; Metazoa; Chordata; Lepidosauria; Squamata; Teiidae.